RNAcentral lists this ribosomal RNA (465 nucleotides) under uncultured bacterium. Its description in RNAcentral is "partial 16S ribosomal RNA". It matches the Rfam family "Bacterial small subunit ribosomal RNA", at positions 28 to 507 of the family's 1533-position model. The record is from RNAcentral.
GACGAACGCUGGCGGCGUGCUUAACACAUGCAAGUCGAACGGAAAGGCCCCCUUGUGGGGUACUCGAGUGGCGAACGGGUGAGGAACACGUGAGUAACCUACCCUUGACUUUGGGAUAACUUCAGGAAACUGGGGCUAAUACCGGAUAGGAGCUCCUGCUGCAUGGUGGGGGUUGGAAAGUUUCGGCGGUUGUGGAUGGACUCGCGGCUUAUCAGCUUGUUGGUGGGGUAGUGGCUCACCAAGGCUUUGACGGGUAGCCGGCCUGAGAGGGUGACCGGCCACCUGGCGACUGAGAUACGGACCAGACUCCUACGGGCGGCAGCAGUGGGGAAUAUUGCACAAUGGGCGGAAGCCUGAUGCAGCAACGCCGCGUGCGGGAAGACGGCCUUCGGGUUGUGAACCGCUUUCGCAUGUGACGAAGCGUGAGUGACGGUACUGGGUAAAGAAGCACCGGCUAACUACGUG